UAGAACCAAGACAGUGGCAGUGUGUGUCUGUCUGUCUUUGGUUAAGGAUAUUUUUAAGAUACUACCUUGUUGUGUUAACAUUAUUUUGCUAUUUCUGACAGGCAGAGGCAGUUUUCUGAAGGAUGGUUAAUGUCAGUAUCAACAUGUUGUGAUGGAGGCUUCCACCUGAGCUGAACACAGAAACUUGCACACAGUGAUGGAAGCAGUCGUUCCUGUUCAGCAUUGAUAUGCCGGUAAUGGGUUUGAUGAGCCACAGCGUGGUGAUGGGCAAUCAGCAUCAGGACCAGGGCCGCUCACAAGGAGAACCUCCUGCCCUGCCUCUUCAUCCUCAACCUCCAAUCUUCCUGCUCUUCACACAUGUGCAGGCACAGAGCCAGUUUUCAGAGGGAGGGCUGAUGACA
Molecule: long non-coding RNA, 401 nt
Organism: Engraulis encrasicolus (European anchovy)
Lineage: Eukaryota; Metazoa; Chordata; Actinopteri; Clupeiformes; Engraulidae
Exons: 3
Source: RefSeq, a predicted model, not a curated record